Malus domestica (apple) is the source of this 945-nucleotide non-coding RNA. The record is from RefSeq and is a predicted model, not a curated record. Lineage: Eukaryota; Viridiplantae; Streptophyta; Magnoliopsida; Rosales; Rosaceae.
AAAACCAGUGCAAGGGACCUGCUGAAACGUAUUGAAGUGGCCAUUGAAAAGCUCAAAUGUGGGACUAAUCUUGAAGAUAUUGGCUUGUGGUCGAUUAUGAAGGAUAAUAUUGGCUCCUUUUCACAUAAAACAUUUCUGUUUCUCCAUUGACGCUUUGCUUCCAAAGCUCACAGAGAAAAGAAAACCCACUAAGACCCACCUCUCACAUCUUGCUGGAACUAAAACUCUUCACUUGUGGUGUGUGACCAGAGAGGACCGAGCUACAUGGAUUGAGGCACUACUCGGUGCUAAAGAUCUUUUCCCUAGAGUGUUUACGAGCAAUGAUUUGGUACCUUCGGAAGAUAUAGUUGUUUCGACAGAGAAGCUAAGACUAAGAUUAGCACAUGAGGGAAUUGGUGAGCCGGUGAUCAAAGACUGCGAGUCAAUUAUGCUCUUAGAAGUGUCAGAGCUUCAAAAUCAAAUGAAGGGUCUUCAGCGUAAACAUGUGAUGUUGUUGGAGUCAUUGAGGCAAUUAGAGACAGAAAAAAUAGAGCUGGAAACUACAGUAGUGGAUGAAACAAAGGAGCGUGAGUCAUACAGACAGGGGAAUGGGAGAUUUAGUGAUGCUCUAAGCAGUGCUUCCUAUUGUAUAUUUGAAAGAGAUUCUUUCUUUUCUGAUCGAUUGCAUGGAGUUGAGGAGAUCAAGACAAUUAAAUAACCAUAUGUGAAAAAGAGGGAUGAUUUGCCAGAACCCAAGGAGAAAGAGAAGCAUAUUGGCUUGUGGUCGAUUAUGAAAAAUAAUAUUGGGAAGGACUUGUCUGGAGUUUGUCUUCCUGUUUAUUUUAAUGAACCACUCUCAUCGUUGCAAUAUUGAUGAAUACUUUUGAUGAAUACUUUUGGUUGGUCCUUCAAGAUUGAUGAAUACUUUUGGUGGGUAUCAAUCAAUAUAGUAUAUAUUGAUGAAUA